Molecule: ribosomal RNA, 253 nt
Filed under: uncultured bacterium
Lineage: Bacteria
Description: partial 16S ribosomal RNA
Rfam family: Bacterial small subunit ribosomal RNA
Source: RNAcentral
UACGUAGGGUGCGAGCGUUGCCCGGAGUUUAUUGGGCGUAAAGAGCUCGUAGGCGGUUUGUCGCGUCUGCUGUGAAAACGCGAGGCUCAACCUCGCGCCUGCAGUGGGUACGGGCAGACUAGAGUCCGGAAGAGGAGAGCGGAAUUCCUGGUGUAGCGGUGAAUGCGCAGAUAUCAGGAAGAACACCCGUGGCUAAGGCGGCUCUCUAGUACGGUACUGACGCUGAGACGCGAAAGCGUGGGGAGCGAACAGG